RNAcentral lists this ribosomal RNA (353 nucleotides) under uncultured Desulfobulbus sp. RNAcentral describes it as "bacterial SSU rRNA". It matches the Rfam family "Bacterial small subunit ribosomal RNA", at positions 1030 to 1382 of the family's 1533-position model. The record is from RNAcentral. Lineage: Bacteria; Pseudomonadati; Thermodesulfobacteriota; Desulfobulbia; Desulfobulbales; Desulfobulbaceae.
GGAGACAGGUGCUGCAUGGCUGUCGUCAGCUCGUGUCGUGAGAUGUGGGUUAAGUCCCGCAACGAGCGCAACCCUUGCCUUUAGUUGCCAGCAGUUCGGCUGGGCACUCUAAAGGGACUGCCGGUGUUAAACCGGAGGGAAGGUGGGGGAUGACGUCAAGUCCUCAUGGCCUUUAUGACCAGGGCUACACACGUACUACAAUGGCCGAUACAAAGGGCAGCGACACUGCGAGGUGAAGCCAAUCCCGUAAAAUCGGUCUCAGUCCGGAUUGGAGUCUGCAACUCGACUCCAUGAAGUUGGAAUCGCUAGUAAUCGUGGAUCAGCAUGCCACGGUGAAUACGUUCCCGGGCCUU